RNAcentral lists this ribosomal RNA (492 nucleotides) under uncultured bacterium. Its description in RNAcentral is "partial 16S ribosomal RNA". It matches the Rfam family "Bacterial small subunit ribosomal RNA", at positions 29 to 507 of the family's 1533-position model. The record is from RNAcentral.
AGUGAACGCUGGCGGUAGGCCUAACACAUGCAAGUCGAACGGCAGCACAGUAAGAGCUUGCUCUUACGGGUGGCGAGUGGCGGACGGGUGAGGAAUACAUCGGAAUCUACUUUUUCGUGGGGGUUAACGUAGGGAAACUUACGCUAAUACCGCAUACGACCUACGGGUGAAAGCAGGGGAUCUUCGGACCUUGCGCGAUUGAAUGAGCCGAUGUUGGAUUAGCUAGUUGGCGGGGUAAAGGCCCACCAAGGCGACGAUCCGUAGCUGGUCUGAGAGGAUGAUCGGCCACACUGGAACUGGGACACGGUCCAUGCUCCUACGGUAGGCAGCAGUGUGGAAUAUUAGACAAUGGGCGCAAACCUGAUCCAGCCAUACCGCGUGGGUUAAGAAGGCCUUCGGGUUGGGAAGCCCUUUUGUGGGGAAAGAAAAGCAGCAGGUUAAUACCCCGCUGUUCUGACGGUACCCAAAGAAUAAGCACCGGCUAACUUCGUG